GUGAGGAAUAUUGGUCAAUGGAGGCAACUCUGAACCAGCCAAGUCGCGUGAAGGAUGAAGGUCUUAUGGAUUGUAAACUUCUUUUGUAAGGGAAUAAAGUGAGCCACGUGUGGUUUUUUGCAUGUACCUUACGAAUAAGGAUCGGCUAACUCCGUGCCAGCAGCCGCGGUAAUACGGAGGAUCCGAGCGUUAUCCGGAUUUAUUGGGUUUAAAGGGUGCGCAGGCGGGAUGUUAAGUCGGCGGUGAAAUUUUGCGGCUCAACCGUAAAAGUGCCUUCGAAACUGGCAUUCUUGAGUAUGGAUGAAGUAGGCGGAAUUUGUGGUGUAGCGGUGAAAUGCUUAGAUAUCACGAGGAACUCCGAUUGCGCAGGCAGCUUACUAAACCAUAACUGACGCUCAUGCACGAAGGCGUGGGGAUCAAACAGGAUUAGAAACCCUAGUAGUCC
This 445-nucleotide ribosomal RNA is filed under the name uncultured bacterium. RNAcentral's name for it is "bacterial SSU rRNA". It matches the Rfam family "Bacterial small subunit ribosomal RNA", at positions 354 to 796 of the family's 1533-position model. The record is from RNAcentral.